GACGAACGCUGGCGGCGUGCUUAACACAUGCAAGUCGAGCGGUAAGGCCUCGGGUACGACGAGCGGCGAACGGGUGGGUAACGACGUGGGUGGACCUGCCCUCCAGCUCUGGGAGUAAGACCCGGGAAACCGUAGGGUCGUAAUACCGGAUAUGACCUUCUGUCGCAUGACGGUUGGUGGAAAGUUACUUCGGCUGGGGAGUGGGCCCGCGGCCUAUCAGCUUGUUGGUGGGGU
This 234-nucleotide ribosomal RNA is filed under the name uncultured bacterium. Its description in RNAcentral is "partial 16S ribosomal RNA". It matches the Rfam family "Bacterial small subunit ribosomal RNA", at positions 28 to 258 of the family's 1533-position model. The record is from RNAcentral.